UUGAACGCUGGCGGAAUGCUUUACACAUGCAAGUCGAGCGGCAGCGCGGGGCAACUUGGCGGCGAGCGGCGAACGGGUGAGUAACAUAUCGGAACGUACCCUAUCGUGGGGGAUAACACAUCGAAAGAUGUGCUAAUACCGCAUACGACCUGAGGGUGAAAGCGGGGGAUCGCAAGACCUCGCGCGACAGGAGCGGCCGAUAUCGGAUUAGCUAGUUGGUGAGGUAAAGGCUCACCAAGGCGACGAUCCGUAGCUGGUCUGAGAGGAUGAUCAGCCACACUGGGACUGAGACACGGCCCAGACUCCUACGGGAGGCAGCAGUGGGGAAUUUUGGACAAUGGGCGCAAGCCUGAUCCAGCCAUGCCGCGUGAGUGAAGAAGGCCUUCGGGUUGUAAAGCUCUUUCGGCAGGAACGAAACGGUAAGGGCUAAUAUCCUUUGCUAAUGACGGUACCUGAAGAAGAAGCACCGGCUAACUACGU
RNAcentral lists this ribosomal RNA (480 nucleotides) under uncultured bacterium. RNAcentral's name for it is "bacterial SSU rRNA". It matches the Rfam family "Bacterial small subunit ribosomal RNA", at positions 30 to 506 of the family's 1533-position model. The record is from RNAcentral.